UACAGAGGUCUCAAGCGUUGUUCGGAAUCACUGGGCGUAAAGGGUGCGUAGGCGGCGGAGAAAGUCGGGUGUGAAAUUUGCGGGCUCAACCCGUAAGUUGCACUUGAUACUACUUUGCUAGAGAUCUGGAGAGGAGCUUGGAAUUCUCGGUGUAGCAGUGAAAUGCGUAGAGAUCAUGAGGAAGACCAGUGGCGAAGGCGGGUCUCUGGACAGUUCCUGACACUGAGGCACGAAGGCCAGGGGAGCAAACGGG
This 253-nucleotide ribosomal RNA is filed under the name uncultured bacterium. Its description in RNAcentral is "partial 16S ribosomal RNA". It matches the Rfam family "Bacterial small subunit ribosomal RNA", at positions 524 to 776 of the family's 1533-position model. The record is from RNAcentral.